Molecule: long non-coding RNA, 2077 nt
Organism: Oncorhynchus tshawytscha (Chinook salmon)
Lineage: Eukaryota; Metazoa; Chordata; Actinopteri; Salmoniformes; Salmonidae
Source: Ensembl
UUUUGAACUCGAUUUUAUUUCAGGACAUAAAUAAUCUUGAUUGCAGUAUUCUCUACACACAGCACAAGGUUACAGCAUAUGCUCAUAAAUAUAUCUCAUACAAUACAAUUUAAGGUUACAAUGUUUUCUCACAAAUAUAUCUCAUACAAUACAAUACAAUACAAUACAAUUAAAGUGUAGACAUCAUGUAGAUUUUCUGAUGAAAAUAAAUGUAUGCAUUUAGCUACAAAAAUAAAUUGGAUUUUUUUCAUAAAUGAUUAACAUGAAUGGCUACAGACUUGCUGUAGUUUCUAUGAAAUGAGUGGAACCACACAUUAGGCUGAGAGGAAAGAAAGUCUGCAUCCCAAAUGGCACCCUAUUCCCUAUAUAGGGCACUACUUUAGACCAGAGCCCUAUGGACCCAUGUCAAAAGAAGUGCACUAUAAAGGGAAUAGGGCGCCAUUUGGGAAGCAGUCAAAAUAAGAACCUCAACAAGCAGCAUAUCAACACCACUAAUACAUUCCUAUUCAUUUGCAUAAUUCACACAACCCAUGAAGAAACAACUUCUUCCACAGAAUCACCACAUCCAAUUGACAAUUUACCUUCAGAGAUGAAACAGUAUGAGACAGUAUGAGACAGUCAGACAGUAUGAGACAGUACGAAGCAGGAUGAAACAGUAUGAAACAGUAUGAGACAGUCAGACAGUAUGAGACAGUAUAUGAGACAGUACGAAGCAGGAUGAAACAGUAUGAGACAGUCAGACAGUAUGAGACAGUAUAUGAGACAGUACGAAGCAGGAUGAAACAGUAUGAAACAGUAUGAGACAGUCAGACAGUAUGAGACAGUAUAUGAGACAUGAAGACACAGGAUGAGACAGUAUGAAACAGUAUGAGACAGUCAGACAGUAUGAGACAGUAUAUGAGACAGUACGAAGCAGUAUGAGACAGUAUGAAACAGUAUGAAGCAGUAUGAGACAGUAUGAAGCAGGAUGAAACCGUAUGAGACAGUAUGAAGCAGUAUGAGACAGUAUGAAGCAGUAUGAAACAGUAUGAAGCAGUAUUACACAGUAUGAGACAGUAUGAAGCAGUAUGAGACAGUCAGACAGUAUGAGACAGUAUGAAGCAUUAUGAGACAGUAUGAAGCAGUAUGAGACAGUAUGAAUCAGUAUGAAGCAGUAUGAGACAGUAUGAAGCAGUAUGAGACCGUAUGAAACAGUAUGAGACAGUAUGAAUCAGUAUGAAGCAGUAUGAGACAGUAUGAGACAGUAUGAGACCGUAUGAAACAGUAUGAGACAGUAUGAAGCAGUAUGAGACAGUAUGAGACAGUAUGAAGCAGUAUGAGACAGUAUGAGACAGUAUGAAGCAGUAUGAGACAGUAUGAAGCAGUAUGAGACCGUAUGAAACAGUAUGAAGCAGUAUGAGACAGUCUGAGACAGUAUGAAGCAGUAUGAGACAGUCUGAGACAGUAUGAAGCCGUAUGAGACAGUAUGAAGCAGUAUGAGACAGUAUGAAGCCGUAUGAGACAGUAUGAGACCAGUAUGAAGCAGUAUUAGACAGUAUGAGACAGUAUGAGUCAGUAUGAAGCAGUAUGAGACCGUAUGAAGCAGUAUUAGACAGUAUGAGACAGUAUAUGAGACAGUACGAAGCAGGAUGAAACAGUAUGAAACGGUAUGAAGCAGUAUGAGACAGUAUGAGACAGUAUGAACCAGUAUGAACCAGUAUGAGACAGUAUGAAGCAGUAUGAGACAGUGUGAAGCAGUAUGAGACAGUAUGAAACAGUAUGAGACCGUAUGAGACAGUACAGAAUAUUGCACAGAAUCUAUACUAGCUAUAGCUAUGGAAAUACCUCUAGAAAUAUUGUAUGGUAAACAUAUCCGUCUCAAGUUUAAAGGCACGGACAAACCGGUAGCGUUUGCCAGCCGAGAGAACCUAGCACCUCUAGACAGAUUGCCAGCCGUAAUUUGCAAACCGACAUUAAAGUGCCUGUCAUCCUUUAGACCAGGGGUCUCCAAUCCUGUUCCUGUAGGUUUAUAUCAGGGCUCUCCAACCCUGUUCCUGGAGAGGUACCCUCCUGGAGGUUUACAUCAGGGCUCUCCAAC